AUGUGCGAGGCUUGCUACAGGGAUGCAUUCAUGGGCAACGCGCCUCAGCAGCACGCGCAGAUUGGCUACGCCGGUGCGCCUCGGGGAGCAGUGCGCAAUCCAGCCCACAAUGGGCCUCCGCAGCACGCGCAGAUGGGGCCUCCAUCCCUCCACACCUUGGCACCGCCACCGGAGCGGCAGUCUUCUUCACGGGCAAGGGAGCAGCAGCUCCAGGUCCAGGCUGAGCUGCAAGCGCUGGAUGCGAUGAGGCUGCAGGUGGCCAAUAUUCUGAACAACCCUUUUUCGCUCGUCGGAUCGGGCCCGGCGAACCCAGCGCCUCAGUGGCAGUCUUCUUCACCAGGACCAGGAUGUUACAGCAAUAUCUUCACCGGCAACCAGGGUCACGGCAGUGCUGCCAUUGAUCAGCAGCGCCAGCUCGACCUCCUCCUCAGCACGCGCGGAUCGCCUCCAAGCUUCCGAGUCCAGUCCCCACUCCCAGCAACGUGCUGGCCGGCAAUGCGUCUCUGA
Molecule: ribosomal RNA, 507 nt
Filed under: Triticum aestivum (bread wheat)
Lineage: Eukaryota; Viridiplantae; Streptophyta; Magnoliopsida; Poales; Poaceae
Description: partial small subunit ribosomal RNA
Source: RNAcentral